UUUUGUUUAUAACCUGUGAAGAGCUCUCAUCAGUAAGGUGAACCUUGAGGCUUUAAUAUGCUUGGGAAAGUUUGAAUGUUACUCUACCUUCAUCCUGUAUUAAUGGGAAACAGCCCCUGAUGAAGGGCUUUGUGAGACAGCUACUUAUCUUGGGGUGGCUGUAGUGUGCUCUCCCUUGUUUGAUUCGUCAUCCACCAACAGUCAUCACAGAGUGGAGAUGGUUGGAGAGUUCAAGAAGGGAAGUGUUUCAUUUGCCUCUUAGUAGGUGGUGAUUCAGCAUUGGCUAAUGUUCCUUGGGAUGCUCUCAUGAACUCUGAGAGAAGAUAUUUUGAACAUCUGGAGGACAGGUCCUCUUUACUUGGAAAUUCUAGAACCUCAUGCAAGUUUCUUGAACUGAAACCUCAAUGGGUAAUUAGAGAUGAAAACAACUACUAGAGAAUCAGCAGGACUGUUUGACUGUUUAUAGACUAUACAGGGCUUUCAGAAAGUCUUACAAUAAAUACCAAUUUAGGUUUUUACAGCAAA
Long non-coding RNA from Hemicordylus capensis (graceful crag lizard), 525 nucleotides. RefSeq lists it as uncharacterized. NCBI's taxonomy places the organism in Eukaryota, Metazoa, Chordata, Lepidosauria, Squamata, Cordylidae. The record is from RefSeq and is a predicted model, not a curated record. The transcript has 3 exons.